AAAAAAAUUAAAUAACUUUAAAAAUAUAGGUAAAAUAAUAAAGUAAUUAUUAUUGUUAAUAAAAAAAUUUAUAAUUAAUUUUAAGUAUUUAGAUAUAAAUAAAUAUUUUAUAUUUUAUGUUAUUAAUAAAAAAUAUUUUAACAAAGUUGAAAUACAUUAAUUAAAAUAUUAAAAUUACAAAUAAAAAAAUAAAAAUAUUAAUAAUAUUAAUUUUCAAGUUAAAUAAAAAAGGAUAAUAUGGUCAAAAUAAAAAAUAAAAUAAAAUCAGCUAUGAGCUGAUGAGAAACAGUUCUAAAAAUAAAGCUGAUACAAACUGUAACUGAUGGGUACCAUAUUAAUUAUCUAUCAGCUAUUAAUUUUAUUUUUUUAAAUUUAUCAAACACUCUAGUUCACCUAUUUGAGUGUCUAUCAGCUAUCAACUGCAAUUAACAAAUUAACUGCAAUCAACAGGUGAACCAAACACCCCUUAGUAAAUAAGUAAGGAAGAAAUCUCAGCUAAGAGUAGGUGGAUAACAAGCAUUAUCUUGAAUAGAAACGUCCAACAACUCCAUUAACAUCACUAUUUGACAAUAAUGUAUUCCUUUUCUCGGCUGUCUUUACAGGAUAAUUAUGCAUUUGAUUAUUUCAAAUAUUGAUUGGGAAAUCUGAGUCUCAAUAAGAUUAAAAU
RNAcentral lists this unclassified non-coding RNA (667 nucleotides) under Hevea brasiliensis (rubber tree). Lineage: Eukaryota; Viridiplantae; Streptophyta; Magnoliopsida; Malpighiales; Euphorbiaceae. The record is from RNAcentral.